Molecule: non-coding RNA, 108 nt
Organism: Acanthosepion pharaonis
Lineage: Eukaryota; Metazoa; Mollusca; Cephalopoda; Sepiida; Sepiidae
Source: the annotation of a GenBank genome assembly
UAUGGCCAUAUCAUGUUGAAAUAGUGGUUCUUGUAUGAUCACCUAAGUUAAGCAACGUUGAACCUGGUCAGUACCUGGGUGGGUGACCACUUGGCAAUACCAAGUGCU